CCUACGGGGGGCUGCAGUGGGGAAUAUUGGACAAUGGGGGCAACCCUGAUCCAGCCAUGCCGCGUGUGUGAAGAAGGCCCUCGGGUUGUAAAGCACUUUCAGUGAGGAAGAACGCCUGGUGGUUAAUACCCAUCAGGAAAGACAUCACUCACAGAAGAAGCACCGGCUAACUCCGUGCCAGCAGCCGCGGUAAUACGGAGGGUGCGAGCGUUAAUCGGAAUUACUGGGCGUAAAGCGCGCGUAGGUGGCUUGAUAAGCCGGUUGUGAAAGCCCCGGGCUCAACCUGGGAACGGCAUCCGGAACUGUCGAGCUAGAGUGCAGGAGAGGAAGGUAGAAUUCCCGGUGUAGCGGUGAAAUGCGUAGAGAUCGGGAGGAAUACCAGUGGCGAAGGCGGCCUUCUGGACUGACACUGACACUGAGGUGCGAAAGCGUGGGUAGCAAACAGGAUUAGAUACCCUAGUAGUC
Molecule: ribosomal RNA, 465 nt
Filed under: Vreelandella stevensii
Lineage: Bacteria; Pseudomonadati; Pseudomonadota; Gammaproteobacteria; Oceanospirillales; Halomonadaceae
Description: partial 16S ribosomal RNA
Rfam family: Bacterial small subunit ribosomal RNA
Source: RNAcentral